GUCUCUCCAACAUCACCACAUUCGAGAUCUCUGUUGAUGGUCCUUAAGUAUCAAAUUUAAUUAUCAAAUAAAUAAAGAAAAGGAUCCAAAUGAAAUCAACAUCUAGACUUAGGGUUUUUUUGACAGAAUUCCAUGAGUUUUGGUGUUUGUCUAUUUAUGCAGGGGGUUAUCAGGAAAUAUGGAAGAAAGGCCCACAUGUCGGGAUUACGUAAAGAUAUUAACGUGCUGCGCAAUUAUCUUACAUCUAGAAGACUCCAGAAGCCAC
Molecule: long non-coding RNA, 265 nt
Filed under: Sorghum bicolor (sorghum)
Lineage: Eukaryota; Viridiplantae; Streptophyta; Magnoliopsida; Poales; Poaceae
Description: long non-coding RNA (SBIC_LNC015804)
Source: RNAcentral